This 440-nucleotide ribosomal RNA is filed under the name uncultured bacterium. RNAcentral describes it as "partial 16S ribosomal RNA". It matches the Rfam family "Bacterial small subunit ribosomal RNA", at positions 338 to 795 of the family's 1533-position model. The record is from RNAcentral.
CCUACGGGUGGCAGCAGUAGGGAAUAUUGCUCAAUGGGGGAAACCCUGAAGCAGCAACGCCGCGUGGAGGAUGAAGGUUUUCGGAUUGUAAACUCCUUUUGUUAGAGAAGAUAAUGACGGUAUCUAACGAAUAAGCACCGGCUAACGCCGUGCCAGCAGCCGCGGUAAUACGGAGGGUGCAAGCGUUAAUCGGAACCACUGGGCGUAAAGGGCGAGGUGGCGGGAUUGCAAGUACGAUGUGAAAUCCUAUGGCUUAACCAUAGAACUGCAUUUGAAAAUGUUAUUCUAGAGUAUGCGAGAGGUAGGUGGAAUUCUUGGUGUAGGGGUAAAAUCCGUAGAGAUCAAGAGGAAUACUCAUUGCGAAGGCGACCUGCUAGAACAUAACUGACGCUGAUGCGCGAAAGCGUGGGGAGCAAACAGGAUUAGAUACCCCAGUAGUC